UACCUGCAGCUCAAGUGGUGGCCGCUAUUAUUGGGCCUAAAACGUCCGUAGCCGGUUUGGUAAAUGCCUGGGUAAAUCGUGUAGCUUAACUAUACGAAUUCUGGGUAGACUGUCAAACUUGAGACCGGGAGAGGCUAGAGGUACUCUUGGGGUAGAGGUGAAAUUCUGUAAUCCUAGGGGGACCACCAGUGGCGAAGGCGUCUAGCUAGAACGGGUCUGACGGUGAGGGACGAAGCCCUGGGGCACAAACCGGAUUAAAUACCCGGGUAGUCCAGGGUGUAAACGCUGCUUGCUUGAUGUUAGUUGGGCUCUGAGCCCAACUAGUGUCGGAGAGAAGUUGUUAAGCAAGCUGCCUGGGAAGUACGGUCGCGAGGCUGAAACUUAAAGGAAUUGGCGGGGGAGCACAGCAACGGGUGGAGCGUGCGGUUU
Molecule: ribosomal RNA, 429 nt
Filed under: uncultured archaeon
Lineage: Archaea
Description: bacterial SSU rRNA
Rfam family: Archaeal small subunit ribosomal RNA
Source: RNAcentral